GAAGAAUUCAGAGAUGGAUUUGUGCCUUCGGGAACCGUGAGACAGGUGCUGCAUGGCUGUCGUCAGCUCGUGUUGUGAAAUGUUGGGUUAAGUCCCGCAACGAGCGCAACCCUUAUCCUUUGUUGCCAGCGGUCCGGCCGGGAACUCAAAGGAGACUGCCAGUGAUAAACUGGAGGAAGGUGGGGAUGACGUCAAGUCAUCAUGGCCCUUACGACCAGGGCUACACACGUGCUACAAUGGCGCAUACAAAGAGAAGCGACCUCGCGAGAGCAAGCGGACCUCAUAAAGUGCGUCGUAGUCCGGAUUGGAGUCUGCAACUCGACUCCAUGAAGUCGGAAUCGCUAGUAAUCGUGGAUCAGAAUGCCACGGUGAAUACGUUCCCGGGCCUUGUACACACCGCCCGUCACACCAUGGGAGUGGGUUGCAAAAGAAGUAGGUAGCUUAACCUUCGGGAGGGCGCUUACCACUUUGUGAUUCAUGACUGGGGUGAAGUCGUAACAAGGUAACCGUAGGGGAACCUGCGGUUGGAUCACCUCCUUACCUUAAAGAA
This 550-nucleotide ribosomal RNA is filed under the name Salmonella enterica. RNAcentral describes it as "bacterial SSU rRNA". It matches the Rfam family "Bacterial small subunit ribosomal RNA", at positions 993 to 1533 of the family's 1533-position model. Lineage: Bacteria; Pseudomonadati; Pseudomonadota; Gammaproteobacteria; Enterobacterales; Enterobacteriaceae. The record is from RNAcentral. RNAcentral also lists the same sequence under 1 other name.